GCCGGGCAUGGUAGUGCACACCUGUAAUCCCAGCAACUUGGGGGCUGAGGCAGGAGGAUUGUGUGUUCAAAACCAGCCUCAG
This 82-nucleotide small RNA is filed under the name Marmota monax (woodchuck). The record is from RNAcentral. Lineage: Eukaryota; Metazoa; Chordata; Mammalia; Rodentia; Sciuridae.